GGAAUAUUGGGCAAUGGAGGAAACUCUGACCCAGCAACGCCGCGUGAAGGAAGAAGGUCCUCGGAUUGUAAACUUCUGUUAUUAGGGAAGAAGAUAGUGACGGUACCUAAUGAGUAAGCCCCGGCUAACUACGUGCCAGCAGCCGCGGUAAUACGUAGGGGGCAAGCGUUGUCCGGAUUGACUGGGCGUAAAGGGAGCGUAGGCGGUUUGGUAAGUCAAAUGUGAAAGCCCGCGGCUUAACUGCGGAACUGCAUUUGAUACUGCUAAGCUUGAGUUCAGGAGAGGUAAGUAGAAUUCCUAGUGUAGCGGUGGAAUGCGUAGAUAUUAGGAGGAAUACCAGUGGCGAAGGCGGCUUGCUGGAAUGACACUGACGCUGAGGCUCGAAAGCGUGGGGAGCAAACA
RNAcentral lists this ribosomal RNA (402 nucleotides) under uncultured bacterium. Its description in RNAcentral is "bacterial SSU rRNA". It matches the Rfam family "Bacterial small subunit ribosomal RNA", at positions 358 to 774 of the family's 1533-position model. The record is from RNAcentral.